Long non-coding RNA from Ctenopharyngodon idella (grass carp), 5050 nucleotides. RefSeq lists it as uncharacterized. The transcript is spliced from 3 exons. The record is from RefSeq and is a predicted model, not a curated record. Lineage: Eukaryota; Metazoa; Chordata; Actinopteri; Cypriniformes; Xenocyprididae.
AUUAUAUGGAGCAAUCUGGUGGUGAAGUAUCAAGUGAAGUGGAUUGCUAUUGAUUGGAUUGCUAUCUGUUCAUCAUUUUUCUCUUCCACAAUUGUGGAUUGUGGGACUCCCAAACUUCUGAAUGCUUAUGUUUAUGUAUGUGGCCUGAACAACCAGAUGCAUUCACACUUGAGGUAGAUUGAGAAAGUUUUUGGGCAGGAAUUUACACAAACUUUAUACAAUCAACAUAAAACUCAUCUUGUUUCAGUGACCUACUAUACCACCAUAAUAUUGAAAUCAUGGUCAUGUGGUCAGGGGAAAAUGAUAUGUCUUGUUUGACAUCUGCUCAUACAUGUGUUAAUCACCUUUGCUGAGUCACUAAAAUACGCUCAACGGUUUAUUUUCCUUAUUUUCCUAUUGUCAUUGAUGUAUGUGUUGAUAUCUGCCAGUAUAAUUUUUUUUUUUUGUUUUUUUUUGUCUUGAUGAACACGUUUCGCCUCAGGUGUGUGCCGUUUUGGUCUAGGCUUGUUUGGUGUAUCGUGUUCACACAGGGAGGGCAGAUAAGCCCCCUCAAGCAUGCAUGGAAAUCAAGUGUGUCAUCAUGAAUAGCGACACAUCCACCUCAAAGUCAUUCCUGUUUCAGCUUAAGCAGCAUUGUGUGAGAUUGCAUCUCAGAAAAGUCAGAGACUCCGGUUUGAACUCGGCACUUCUGUCAGCUCGGGGGAGGGGUCAGGAACCCUGACCUCACUUCCUGUGGUGACUUCACAAACCAUGCAUUGUGUGUGAGAAUGUGACAGGGCUCCUGGGACUCCUCUGCAUCUGGCAGCUGUUUUGACCACCCCCAUCCCUUUCCACCACCACCAGGAAGAUCUAUGUAUGUUCCUGGUACUCACCUCAGGAACUCCCCCAAAAUAACACCACUGGCUUGAACUUCAUUUCUACGCCGUUAUGUAUCUCAAACAUGCUCUGAAUUUGGUCUGCCACACUCUGGUUUUCACCAUCAGGUUUUACCAGAAGAAGUUCCGUUUUGAUGUGGUUUAUGUCAACGUCUCUUGCGAGUGCCUCACCCUUCAGAGGACAGACGUUAGUGGUCAUCAUGAGUUCCUCUUACCAAAGGAGAACAAGCUUGUUAUUCGGAAUCAUUUUCAUUGCUAUUUUCCCAUUAGUACUUCAGGUAUUAUUUAGGGAACCUUCUUAUUUCGUUUUUUGUGAAAUGCCACAUUUGUGUCACUGUCUUUCUCACGGAGGCUUGACGCAUGUGUUCUUGGUAGGUGCUCUGAGAGGAUGAUGCUAAUUUUAGACUGUCUCAUAGGCAAUUCAUUACAGGCUUCCUGUUUAAAGUUUGAAUAUGAAAGGCGCAUAUCCUCUGUCAUUCUGCAUUAAAAGAUGUUCAGUUUAGAACAAAUAGGAAUAAUUUUUAUAUUUUGAGAUAUAAUUUAAUAGUUGAUUCUUGAAUCUCUGUAUUAAGAUGUAGAAUAUUAUUAUUAUUUUUAAAGGAAUUUUAAAUGACUUGAUGCAAACUACCACUAAACAUGAUGAUGCCCUUGCAAGGGACCCCCUUCCUAAAAUAUUAAGGCAGCUUUAUAUUUAUGUUCUAUUUUGCUUGUAUUUUGUCAUUGUACAGAUUGUAGAUUUAUAGAUGAAAUAUAGUGUGUGUGUGUGAGUGUGUGUGUGUGUAUGUAUGUGUGUGUAUAUAUAUAUAUAUAUAUAUAUAUAUAUAUAUACACACACACACUCAGUGCAAAUAGCCACUGCCAUAUAUAUAUAUAUAUAUAUAGCAGCAGCUAUUUACACUAAGUCACAAUAGCAGCGUUUUCUUAGCGAUAUGCUAUUUACACUAGGUGAAAACCAGCGUUGAUCGCAUUGCACCACUGAAGACGUUGAAUUCUAUGCGUCUUUUUUAAAACUUGAGUGGCCCAACCAGACAUUGGUGGGCGGAGCUAGUGUAAAUAGCAUUUGCCAACAAGGGACGCUAUUUGCACUUAGUGUAAAUAGACAUAUAUUUGUGUAUUUAUAUACAUAUAUAUAUAUAUAUAUAUAUAUAUAUUCUUCAAAAUUUGCCCCCCAAUACUUGAUUCUGAUUGGUCAAUUGCAACAUUCUGUAUAAUAUAAAAGCCGCUGUACUUUAUAAUUGACCAUCGUGCCUACUAAUUAGCUUUGCUGUGUUAGUAUCUUGUAUCUCAUAUGCGGUCUCUUGCCACAUUAUAAAAUAAUUUAAACUCAAAUCAAUAUUUCAAGUCCAUUUAUGUAUCUACUGUAUAUUGUUGUAACUGUGUAAGUGGGUAAUGUACAGUCAGCCAUUAAUUAUUGCAAAAUAAAUAUCUGGUAUCAGUAUUGUGCUGAUUAGUUAUCACUGUAAACAGAAGUAAAACAGAAUACAUAUAUAUCUAUAUAGUCAGAGACCUUUGAAAGAAAAAAAAAAUUGUGAAAUACAGAACUGUCCUCACAUUUCAUUUCCUCUAUUUAAUUGAGUGGGAACAUCUCCAGCAUUUGCGGAUUGGCAUAUACUCUUCCUCUUUUUCCAUCUUCAUCACAGACCAUUUAUAUUUUCAGAACAUCUGUAGAUUCUCUUUCUGUCAUGUGGUCUGCGGUCCUGUGAUCCAGUGAGUCUGAUGUCUUAUGAUGAGUCUACAGUCACACUCAUAGAUUUGUUCAUUUUGCACGGCAUUGCAUUGUUUGUUUGAGAGAAUAUUGUGCUGUCAACUUUGCAGUGGCAAUGUCAAAAGUGCAGAAAAAGCCACAAUGUUUACCCUUUUUUUUUUUUGUCUUUGUUUUUGCUUACUGUGGUCUGUUGCACAACAUGAAAGCGCUGUGUGCAAGAAGUACAUAUUUAUAUCGGCUCCCAGAUUAACAUAUUAGAGUAUUUGCGUGCAAAGCUCGAAACAUCUUUUGCAACAUAGUCUUAUCAUAGCAUUGACCUUAUAGUUGUUUUGUUAUGUUAAACUUGCAUAGGAGAAAGUAUUUAAAUUAUAUAAUUAUAAAUAGCAUCCUUAAAAUGGUUAGUUCAGCCAAAAAUUUAAUUUCUGUCAUUAAUUACUCAUCCUCAUAUCGUUCUAAACCCAUGAGACUUUCGUUCAUCUUUGGAAAACAAAUGACGCACAUCAGAGAUUAAUAUUUUGUAAAAAUAAUUAUGUUUGUUUUGUGCAAACAAAGCACUCGCGUCGUUUCAUAAAUUGGAUUACUUUAAUGAUGUCUUUACUACCUUUCUGGAGCUUGAAAGUUUCAGUUGCAUAGGCUGUCAAUGGAGGGAAAGAAAGCUCUCAGAUUUCAUCAAAAAGAUCUUCAUUUGUGUUCUGAAGAUGAAUGACAGUCUUACAGGUUUGGAACGACAUGGGGGGAGAGUAAUUUUAAUUUCUGGGUGAAUUAACCCUUUAACCAAAAUAAUCAUGAAAGGCUAAUAAACUAUACAUUGUUUAGCUAAAACGAAGUGAAUCCAAAUAAAGAAAUGCUUAAGCCAGCACUUGCCUUUCAAGGCCACAAAAUGUAUCAUGGUUGUAUCUUACCAACAGACUUUGUGGACAAAUAAACACCAUUUUGAAUUGUAAAGUAUUUUACACAAAAACACUCUGUGGUGAGGUGUCUGUUCUUCCACUUCUUCCCCUUCAGCCGUUACUGAAAAAGUAAACAAUGGCACCUGGAGUCAAGAUGGCUGAUCUCUUCUUCCUCCUAAUCAUCCAUUAGUGGCUUAAGUGUCAGUCGCGCCACAUGUCUAACAGAGCUCACAGGUUAAAAUCCCUCACGCCCCCCCUUCACUCAUACCUUUUAUCACCUACUCAUUUUCCUUUUUAUAAGACCAGCUUUGUUUUUUGUGGAGCGGCACUUACACCAUUUAAUGGUUUUGCACAGCUGCAUUCAUGACGUUUUCCAGAUUGUUUGUGUAUGGGAGAAUGAACAAACUUAUCCAGCAGGUGAUGCCUCUUCUUUAUCAACAUUUCACCAUGCUGUUUUCAUUCAAAUUUCAGUGACUGCAUCCAAACCAUUGUAUAAGACUAUCAUUAGUUCAAUCUCUUUCUCACAGGGAUGUAGGCGUCUUUACUGUAUUUUAUAGAGUUGGUUCCCAUGCUCCAAAAUGUGUGCUGUUUUGUUUGUGUGCGCAUGUAUUAUGUUUACAUUGGGUUUAAUUAUGUGAUCAUACUUGUUUGUAAAAAAGUGCUCCACCAGGGGGGCGUCAAGAGGAAUAGGGGGAAGGUUUUGUGGCUUCCUGGAGAUUAGGCCUUUAUUUACAGAGGGGUGCUCAAGUGUCCUUAACACAACACAAUACUAAUCCACAAGUCCAUUUUUACGCUUUUCUUUAUUAACUACAUUACUGUGAAGACCAUGUUUUCCCUAGGAGGGCUGGUCAUUUGUAUGGUAAUAUGAGUCCUAUUAGCAAGGAUUUUGAAGUCCCAGCCAGUCAGGACUUGCUGUCGAUCGUAUCGGGGAUUUAAAACGCGUGAAAAGUACAACAAGGCUGGUUUAGGGAAUAAGUAAUGCAACAAAAGACAUAUGGAUGGGAAAAGGGACACCAUCUUUUUUGCUGAUACUUUAUCUUCACAAACUCUUAAGGCAAAAUCUGUUGUUUUGACCUGUAACCAUAUGGCAGACAUCAGUGCUUUGGCCCCUUUGGCUUAGAAACCCAACACUUACAGACAUUCACUAUCACAUUCAUUAUCUGACUUGUGCUGGAUCAGAAGAAGGUACUUGAGUGUAGUUCCUGUGUUCUUGCCUUGCUGAAAAGACCUGAAUAGCGGCUCACCAGCAUAUGUUGUGUUUGGGAUGCUGGUCCCCAGCAUGGGUGCUGAUUUUCCCACCAGGCUUCUUAACUAACGUACCUAGCAAGACUUCCUUUGACAACCCUCUUCACCAUGCUGGUGCACCAGCCAAGAUGUUAUUGACUGUGAUUUUUACCAAGCAGGACGUAUUCCUGGAUCAACAUCCUUGAUGGUCCUGGAAAAACAUUACUGUUUUAGAGGUAGUUAAUGGCUAGGGUUACACCGUGCCUACACUGCGCCUAAUCGCUCCCAUUAUAAUCAACCAGGCUUUUUUUAUUUUAAAUGUGUUGCAAAGCUAAUUUAGCCACCUGUCUUAGUUA